Molecule: ribosomal RNA, 253 nt
Filed under: uncultured bacterium
Lineage: Bacteria
Description: partial 16S ribosomal RNA
Rfam family: Bacterial small subunit ribosomal RNA
Source: RNAcentral
UACGAAGGGGGCUAGCGUUGCUCGGAAUCACUGGGCGUAAAGGGUGCGUAGGCGGGUCUUUAAGUCUGUUGUGAAAGCCCUGGGCUCAACCUGGGAAUGGCGAUGGAUACUGGCGAGCUAGAGUACGGUAGAGGAUGGUGGAAUUCCCGGUGUAGCGGUGAAAUGCGUAGAGAUCGGGAGGAACAUCAGUGGCGAAGGCGGCCAUCUGGACCAGUACUGACGCUGAGGCACGAAAGCGUGGGGAGCAAACAGG